AUAUGGCCGAAAAAAGUGAUUUUUGAAAAGAAUUUAAUCAAAUAUUUGAGGUGUAGGAAUCGAGUUUAAAAACUGGAUAUAUAAAUCCCGUGUACACUUUUUCAAAUGCCGAAAUUUUCUCCUUUUUGCAAACAGAAUUGUAUAUGAUAUAUUUAUAUCUUAUGUCAUUCCAUUCUCAGCAGUCGUACGAGUUGGUUGUGUUAGCUCGUCGGCUCCGCUGGAAUCGAUAUUGUGUUUGUGCUUUAUAUUCGAUUGUUUUUGAUCCGAUUUGUUUUGACCUUGUAUCGGCACGUAGUUGAUACUUGAACUUGUACUGCUGUACGUGUGCGUCCUGUACACUAUGAUGCGGCUCUCCCAAAAUUCUGAUGCUGAAAGUGGUCGCUACCUCUUGUCGAGACUAAAGGAUCCCUCCAUCCUGAGAGCCCUUAGGCUGUACCUGUCAUACCUUCACGACCAACCCUCCAAUGUGUGCUUUGAAGGGCACACGACCACUAGUAUAAAACUAAUGCUAGCAUCCGAAGGACUGCCCAUCGAUCUUGGUUCAUUGCGAAACCUGAUGUAUAUCCGCUUCCAUGACGUCUACGGCAUUGGCGCCGCCGAGGUUGAAGAUGACCUUUCAGCCUUUUGGUCCUUUUUUUCAUCUGAAAAACUGUUUCAGAAUUCAACUCGUGAAGGUUGAUACGACAACAUCUUCAUGCCAACCAAUUGAAUGUGGUGUGCCGCGAGGUUCAGUUUUGGUCCUUAUUUUGUUUUUCCUAUUUAUUAAUGACAUGGCCAAUCUGGAUAUCAGCGGCAAAAUUUAUCUGUUCGCCGACGAUACCAGCUUUACUUGGAGCACACAUAUUCUUUUUAAUAUCAACUUCUGACUUUAUAAACAUUUAGUUGUAUAAGUAAUUUGACCAUGUACAAUAGGUUACCUAUUUUGUAUAAUAUCUAAAUGUCUUGUGCUUUUGUGUACU
RNAcentral lists this unclassified non-coding RNA (959 nucleotides) under Anthonomus grandis grandis. RNAcentral describes it as "uncharacterized LOC126740914". The record is from RNAcentral. Lineage: Eukaryota; Metazoa; Arthropoda; Insecta; Coleoptera; Curculionidae.